Molecule: transfer RNA, 73 nt
Filed under: Camelus bactrianus (Bactrian camel)
Lineage: Eukaryota; Metazoa; Chordata; Mammalia; Artiodactyla; Camelidae
Also listed under: 2 other names
Rfam family: tRNA
About the family: Transfer RNA (tRNA) molecules are approximately 80 nucleotides in length.
Source: Rfam by way of RNAcentral
AAGGGUAUAGCUCAAGUGGUAGAGCCCAUGCUUAGCAUGCAUGAGGCCCUGGGCUCAAUCCCCAAUACCUCUA